RNAcentral lists this transfer RNA (71 nucleotides) under Eremothecium sinecaudum. RNAcentral describes it as "tRNA-Lys". It matches the Rfam family "tRNA". From Rfam's summary of the family: Transfer RNA (tRNA) molecules are approximately 80 nucleotides in length. Their secondary structure includes four short double-helical elements and three loops (D, anti-codon, and T loops). Further hydrogen bonds mediate the characteristic L-shaped molecular structure. tRNAs have two regions of fundamental functional importance: the anti-codon, which is responsible for specific mRNA codon recognition, and the 3' end, to which the tRNAs corresponding amino acid is attached (by aminoacyl-tRNA synthetases). tRNAs cope with the degeneracy of the genetic code in two manners: having more than one tRNA (with a specific anti-codon) for a particular amino acid; and 'wobble' base-pairing, i.e. permitting non-standard base-pairing at the 3rd anti-codon position. The record is from RNAcentral. Lineage: Eukaryota; Fungi; Ascomycota; Saccharomycetes; Saccharomycetales; Saccharomycetaceae.
GAGAGUAUAGUUUAUCGGUAAAACAAUUGUCUUUUAAACAGUAAUAGUAUGUUCAAUUCAUACUACUCUCA